RNAcentral lists this ribosomal RNA (440 nucleotides) under uncultured bacterium. Its description in RNAcentral is "partial 16S ribosomal RNA". It matches the Rfam family "Bacterial small subunit ribosomal RNA", at positions 338 to 795 of the family's 1533-position model. The record is from RNAcentral.
CCUACGGGUGGCAGCAGUGGGGAAUAUUGCACAAUGGGGGAAACCCUGAUGCAGCGACGCCGCGUGAGUGAAGAAGUAUUUCGGUAUGUAAAGCUCUAUCAGCAGGGAAGAAAAUGACAGUACCUGACCAAGAAGCCCCGGCUAACUACGUGCCAGCAGCCGCGAUAAUACGUAGGGGGCAAGCGUUAUCCGGAUUUACUGGGUGUAAAGGGAGCGCAGAGGGCAGGGCAAGUCUGGAGUGAAAGCCGGGGGCUCAACCCCCGGACUGCUUUUGAAACUGUAAGGCUGGAGUGCAGGAGAGGUAAGCGGAAUUCCUGGUGUAGCGGUGAAAUGCGUAGAUAUCAGGAGGAACACCAGUGGCGAAGGCGGCUUACUGGACUGCAACUGACGUUGAGGCUCGAAAGCGUGGGGAGCAAACAGGAUUAGAUACCCUUGUAGUC